RNAcentral lists this ribosomal RNA (246 nucleotides) under uncultured bacterium. RNAcentral's name for it is "partial small subunit ribosomal RNA". It matches the Rfam family "Bacterial small subunit ribosomal RNA", at positions 26 to 285 of the family's 1533-position model. The record is from RNAcentral.
AGAAUCAACGCUGGCGGCGUGCCUAACACAUGCAAGUCGCACGAGAAAGGGUAGCAAUACCUGAGUAAAGUGGCGCACGGGUGAGUAACACGUGAAUGAUCUACCUCCGAGUGGGGAAUAACUGAGAGAAAUCUUAGCUAAUACCGCAUAACACUUACGAGUCAAAGCAGCAAUGCGCUUGGAGAGGAGUUUCGCGGCCGAUUAGUUAGUUGGCGGGGUAAUGGCCCACCAAGACGAUGAUCGGUA